UACAGAGGGUGCAAGCGUUAAUCGGAAUUACUGGGCGUAAAGCGUGCGUAGACGGUUAUCUAAGUCAGGUGUGAAAGCCCCGGGCUCAACCUGGGAAUUGCAUUUGAGACUGAAUAGCUAGGGUGCGGAAGAGGGAAGCGGAAUUUCCGGUGUAGCGGUGAAAUGCGUAGAUAUCGGAAGGAACACCAGUGGCGAAAGCGGCUUCCUGGUCCAGCACCGACGUUCAGGCACGAAAGCGUGGGGAGCAAACAGG
This 253-nucleotide ribosomal RNA is filed under the name uncultured bacterium. Its description in RNAcentral is "partial 16S ribosomal RNA". It matches the Rfam family "Bacterial small subunit ribosomal RNA", at positions 524 to 776 of the family's 1533-position model. The record is from RNAcentral.